GACGAACGCUGGCGGCGUGCUUAACACAUGCAAGUCGAACGGAAAGGCCCUGCUUUUGUGGGGUGCUCGAGUGGCGAACGGGUGAGUAACACGUGAGUAACCUGCCCUUGACUUUGGGAUAACUUCAGGAAACUGCGGCUAAUACCGGAUAGGAGCUCCCGCUGCAUGGUGGGGGUUGGAAAGCUUCGGCGGAUGGGGAUGGACUCGCGGCUUAUCAGCUUGUUGGUGGGGUAGUGGCUUACCAAGGCUUUGACGGGUAGCCGGCCUGAGAGGGUGACCGGGGACAUUGGGACUGAGAUAGGGCGCAGACUCCUACGGGAGACAGCAGUGGAGAAUAUUGCACAGUGGGCGGAAGCGUGAUGCGGCAGCGCCGCGUGCGGGAUGACGGCCUUGGGGGUGUAAACCGCUUUCGCCUGUGACGAAGCGUGAGUGACGGUAAUGGGUAAAGAAGCACCGGCUAACUACGUG
RNAcentral lists this ribosomal RNA (468 nucleotides) under uncultured bacterium. RNAcentral's name for it is "partial 16S ribosomal RNA". It matches the Rfam family "Bacterial small subunit ribosomal RNA", at positions 28 to 507 of the family's 1533-position model. The record is from RNAcentral.